AGUAGUUAAACYCUACUAUUAAGGG
This 25-nucleotide transfer RNA is filed under the name Diadema antillarum. RNAcentral's name for it is "partial tRNA-Lys". Lineage: Eukaryota; Metazoa; Echinodermata; Echinoidea; Diadematoida; Diadematidae. The record is from RNAcentral.